Ostrea edulis (European flat oyster) is the source of this 5681-nucleotide long non-coding RNA. RefSeq lists it as uncharacterized. Lineage: Eukaryota; Metazoa; Mollusca; Bivalvia; Ostreida; Ostreidae. The transcript is spliced from 2 exons. The record is from RefSeq and is a predicted model, not a curated record.
AUUCUACAAAAUAUGAAGAAAAGCUCGAUCGGGCAAAAAGUUAUAAUGCUAGUUGGUGUUGUGAAAUAAAAGACCUAUAACUCUGAAUUUUGCAGCACAAUUUAGGAAACUUUAACAUGAGGUAUAUAUUCUUAAUGCAGCAGAAUAUUCAUACUUAAACUUUGAUUCCCUAUUCAAGCCAACCCUAGUCAAAUAUGAAUAUGCAAUACAAUGGAAUGUUUGGAUAUCAAUAUAUUGAAUCAGUGGUCCUAGAUGAAAAAUAUCAAAGAUUACAUAUAUUGUAAUGUAAAACUUUGAUCCCUAUUGACGUCCCAUCCUACCCCCAAGCCAUGGUGUGAAGAUAAUUGAAUCUGUAGUACCUAGGGAUGCGUGCAUGAUAAUGAUGACAAGUCAUGACCCUAUUGGUCUUGAGAAGAACACCAAAAGUACAUUUUAUUUGCAAUUCUAUACAGAAUAAGACCGAUUGUUUUUCGUUCAAAGGUUAAACUUCAUUGGCAAAAAUUCACUACCGACUCUUGCAUCAAAACUAAUUCAAGCGUCAAAUGAGCCAUCAGAGUGUAUUGCUUACUAUGAAAUCAUAGGAUACAAUUUACUCAGAGCACCACAUUCUUAUUUUUUCGAAUAAAGGCCCAAUUUGAUUUGCACGGGUCAAAUUACCCCCGAUGCAACUUCCUAUGUAUGUAAAUCAUUAUGAUAUAGAAAUGUUUGCUGACGAUGCUACUUUACAUAUCCAAAAGAGUUAUGCACAUUGCAUGGAAUCAACACAAUUCUGAUUUGUGUGAAAUCUAAAAUUGUUGUUUACGAAACCAAAUGGGUUUCAAAAGCGUUGGAAAAGGGGGCAACCGGAGCACACACCCUACCCUCUUUUAAGAACAUCAGUUAUGUCAUUAUCAUUAAAACUGAUUUAAACUCCUUAACUAAUAUCCGUUUUCUAAUCAUUGCUUUUCUUAAUCUUUUAAUUAUUUUGUUCCUUUACCCCCCCCCCCCCCGCCCGCCCACACACAAUAAUAUCAGUUAUGUAAUUAUCAUUAAAAUUGAAUUAAACUUAAGCCCCAUCUUGUUAUCAUAAUACGUGUACAAGCUUUUUCUGAAGGUUUUUUUUUUUAUCCCUCCCCCUCAUCUAUUUCUUAUUCCGCAAUUAAGUUUUCUUUUUAACAGACUUUUUUCAAUGUAUCCGAAUCAAAUGAAAGCGAAAACGAAAUUGAUUUCUGCUUGUGUUUUGACAUUUUACGGCAUUGAAUCGGUCAUCCCGUGCAAGUAUCAUGUUUUGAAUGAUAGUAAAUAAGUAUCAGAUAUUAUGUCAUCCAAUCGAUAUUCUAUGCUUUGGCCAUCUCGGUAACUUUGACAUAUUGAUAAUACCUUAUGUAGGAGUAUACCUACACCUGCAGAUUAGUUUCAGUUUGAGUAAUUUGGUAUGGAAUUCAAUUUAUCAAUUGAUUUAAAACCAUUCCUUUCUCUUUUCAUAGCAUUGAAUCCUCAAAACACUGCUCACCCUUUUUGUAUUUCAUGAAUUAGAUAGAUAAAUUUAAUAGAAAUAUUAUAUUUCAGAAAAUACACAAGGGCAUGCACUACGCUGCCUUACGCUUGCAUACUUCAUGAAGCGCAUUUGCAUGUAUUUUCAAAAAAGAAAUGAUAUUUGUUUUUAGUUUUAGCGGAGAGAACUGAAUUGGAGACAUAAACACUGAGAUAAAGCACCAGAGGGUGGAGGUAUCUGGGACAUGUACUUAGAAUGAAGGCAAACAGCAUUGGAAGAAGAGCUAUAAAGUGGACACCACCUGGAAAGAGACAACCUGGGCGAUUGAGAGGGACUUGGAGAAAAAAUGUAGAGACAGAAAUGAAAGGGGACUUGGAUACAACUGGAACACCAUAAGGCGAGCAGUGCAUGACAGGAGCCAAUGGAGAGAACUUGUAGCCGUCUUAUUUGUAGACAUACACGAAGAGUAUUAAAUCAGCUGUCUUGGCUACUGGGAGUACAAGACCAACAGUCUGAUACAACAAUUUAUUACCAGACUGUUAAUAGGCACUGUCCCUUGGUGCUCCCUGUAAUCAGGUCAACAUAUCGUGUUUUGGUUUUUUUUAUUCUCUCAUAUAACGCUAUUAUUCUCUUUUAUAUAAGUAUUCUAACCUUCCUGCUUUAUGCAUAAAGAUUCAGAACAACUGGAUCCCACGUCUAUAUAUGUAAUAUACUUGCAUGCUGUAUUCAGUAAGAUGAUUUUUAACAGUCGCGGCAAUGUGAUACUGCAAGUACAUGUCUUUGCAUUGUACACAUUUCCUUUGCUUUACACUUGUAAGCUGUCUUGGUUACUGGGAGUACAAGAUCAACAGUCUGGUACAAUAGAUUUACUACCAGACUGUUAACAGGCACUGUACCUUGGUGCCCCCUGUAAUCAAGUCAACAAUUCAUACCUUCUUUAACACUUUGUACAAUUGUUUUCAUUUAUAUAAUUAUUUAUUCUAAUCUCCCUGCAUUAGCAUAAAACAUUCAGAACAACUGGAUCCUACAUGUACAUGUGUUUUAUACUUGCAUACUGUACUUACUAAAAUAUAAUUAUACUGAUCUGAUUACAAUUUUAUAUCCAUUCACACAAUACUAUCAUUAUCUGCUGUCCCAGAAACUGAUGUGUGAAGCAGUUGGGUUAUUUUAUUUAUCAUGUUGUUAAUUUAAAUCUUGUCUGUAAUCAGUAUUUCAUAUAUAAUUAUAGAUGUGUGCAGUGCAGAAGUGUGAACUCUGUCAGUAUUACCGGUAGUACUUCUGAAUGAUUGUUAUUUAUUUUCAUUGUUAUGAUUAAUUGCUUGUUAACCUGUACAUGCCCCCCGAGGGCCCUUGAUUGUGAAUAAACAAUAAACAUAUAUUGUAUCAUGGCUGUGGUGUUUUUCCUUUAAUAAAAAGUGUACAAUAACUGGAGAUACACCGGUGGGCGGAACCAUCAUUUGCAUACUUUUGAAAACUGUGCCGUGUAAAUAAAUUAUUGAACACCACCUGACAGUGACAAUUUCAACUCAAGGUGAAGAUCAAAUCAGAAUUCACGAGAUUAAGGCCCGCGGCCGUGUCGAUAUCCAUUUUAUCAUCUCCCGAUUUAACUUCACGAAAUGUGUGGUCAUCACAUGCUUGUGAGAAAACAUUGAAUAAAAACUGUACAUCCAAAUCGUGUAAAUCGCCAAUGUUCAUAGUCGAGGUGCUCUGAUCAGACGCAUUAUGCACAUCCGCUCUCACUAACUAUCGGGUGAUGAGUGCAAGAUUGGCAUGGAUAGCGGGAAGAGGAAAAUACCCACGCGAUCACCUGACAAAAACUUUACUUUUCAUUGGGGUAAUUAAAAAAAAAAAUCGUGCAAUAACCACUGGUCACAUGACAGAUAUUAUAUUUCUAAUUGGUCAUGAUACAAGUAAGUUAUUGAAUAUUUAUAUACUCGUGCUUCGCACUCGUCACCGCCCUUCGUCCAAAUAAAUCAAGAUACACCGAAAUAAAUAUACAAUAACUAUUACAAAUUACGUGAAAUGGUUCUGGGAGUGUUCCGAUAUGUGGUGUGACAAGAAAAAAUACUCACGGCUCCAGCUUGCCCGCCUCACCCUGGCGUUUCGUUUCCCCGGCAUCCCACUACAGCGAUUGCGGUGGUGCUCUUCUUUAUUCUUUUCUUUUCCUGUUUUAAUUAUAUUCCAUCAUUUCUGUUAUCUUUUCUACUUUCAGUUUGACAAUAUUCCCGGAAGUAUAUAUACUGCUUAUUCAUGCACUGACGUAAUAUUUGUGUUGCUGACUAGGGUCUAAUUAUUGAUUAAACUCGCCGCUGAUAAUAUGCAGGUUUUGGCAAUGGUUCAGGUUUAUGUUUUCAGAAAUUUAAAGGGGGAAAAUCAUGUGAUAAUUAUAAAUGCGAUGUGUACAUAUAUUACCAAUACAUAACCUGAAUUAAAAAGAGUCUUUAGAUUCAUUUUUGAUUACAUUUGCUAGAUUGUAACACAUGAAAAUGAAAACACAUUCCCUGUUAUUUUUUCUCAAUUUUCACGAGUUCAGUAUUGUUACUUACUUAAUUUGUGGUGCAUCUGUCUUUCAUCCUGUUUUUUCUUAAGCUGUGAAAAAAAAAAAAAAAAAGAGAAGUAAAAUCCCACGAAUGUGUCUUUUGUUGUGUACCUUGCAUCUCGGGCCUAAGUUGGACGGGAUAAUAAACAGACGCUAUUACCUGUCCGGGAUACAAACAUUUAUUUGCCUACCUGUGAAAAUAUAUCACAAUAUAAAUUCGGGGUAUCUUAUGGGUUUUUGUUUUACGCCUUUACCUUACAGAAUGUGAAGUUCAUCGAUGUCCAAGUUAAAGAUGAAACAGAAUAUUUUGUUCACAAAUAUUUUCUAAAGGAGGAUUCAAAUAUAUUCAUUUUAGGCAGACAUUUCUUGGAUAAUUUGAAGUUGUCCACAUAUUCCUAAUAUAAUUUGGAAUCACGUGAUAUGUCUAGGUUGUUUGCUUUAUUGACUUCGUCGGUUUAAACAAAUUACUCCUUCCGCUUUUUCUACAUGUAAAUACCCUUCCGCUCUUUCUUCAUGUACAUACCCUGUGAUCAAUACAAACGAUUCGUCAUUUAUUUCUUUUAUAUAAUUUUUUUUUUUAUAAUUUAACUAGUUUCAUUUCUUCAAUGUAUAGGUUUUUUUGACCAUAUCAAGAAAUAAAACAAAAAUACACUGUAAAUUGAAACAGCAUUGGUUUAUCACUGUCAGAUUUACAUUGGUAGGUGUUCAAGCAUAUGUCGUUAAUAAUCUCUCUAUUAAAUGGAGAGAGAAAUCAACAUCAUAUGAUAGCUACGCUAGAAAAGUUUAAACCCAAACAAAUUAUCAAUUACAUAAAUACUAUCAAAUCAUGUUUAUAUUUAAUAGGGAGGAGUUUUAGUUCAUUCUUAUUACAUGUACGUGAUGAUAUAUAUUUUUGGCGGAUGGAUAUGAAAAAAUCAAAGGCUUUUUUUUUUCUCCUUAUGAGGGAAACAAAUAAUGAAUUUUCAAACUGUCAUAGUAUGGAACAGACUAAAUAACGAAAAUAUUGUAUGACUCAAAAUUUCAGGAAUAAUUCUCCAGAACAACAAACAUAAACAUUUUCUAUAAAUACUUUUAUGUGAGAUAUGCUUGCUUGUGUCAUACGAUAAAUAUACGUACGUUUUCGAAAAAGAAAUUAUUUUAAAAAAAUAUUACUCUUAUGAGCAAAAAUCUCUAUAUGAUGCACCAGUUGUAUUGUCUUCGGGUCAUCGGCUAACCUAACCCAAUAUAAUCAAUAGUAAUUUACUCAAUUUAAAAGAAAGGUGAACAAAAGUUACAAUAUAGCCUACUUUACACUACUGACAUAGUUUUAUGAAAAAUUACACCAGAAAUACCCCUCCCCUGUGCAGCAAAGUUUCAUCCUACCGUGUCGGAGAGUCUUUCAUCCUACCGUGUCGGAGAGUCAGGAAUAUUACAACGUGCAAACCUUUUCCCUCUUUCAAAUUAUAUUAUAUUAGGCCUAUACAAUAGAUUUUAGCAUUGACUUCACUUGUAGAUAGAACUGUUACUGUCUGAUGAGCACCUGUUUAACGAGGGGCUGGUUAGAAUCCUUAAUCCAUUCAUUAUCACUAUUGCAUUCUUCUUUCUCCUCAUCGUCAGAUCCCAUAAAGAGGGUUUUCAAAGUCUUGAAAACACCGGCCAUGUUGUAUUAUAGACGUGCGAAGAAGAGAU